AUGAUGAAUCGUCAGUUUGCGAAUAUGAUAGUACACAAUUACCCCAAGGGAGUUUAUUCCCUGCGCCGGAUCAACCUCAUGGAGUAUCUCUUCUACCCUUCAACAGAAGCUGCCGAAAAGGCAGAAGUGAAUAAGAAGGGAUGGUUAUCCACCAUGUUGAAAGGGAGCCCCAAGCAGAGUCUGCCCAAGACGAACAUCAACUUCUCAUCACUGCCUAACAUGGCCGACUUAACUACCAGGCAUUUCUUCUCCCUGCUGAGAGGGCAGGGGGAGGGCUCUGUCAUGUUUGUCAGCCCUAACGUCCACACGAUGAUGUACGACACUAGCACGGACUUCGUCUUUGGCAUGCCACAAGCCAACUUCUGUAAGCAGAGUGACUCAAUCGCCCUGUCCAUCACUCGGCGGAGCUAUGGCCAGGACAACCACAAGCUCUAUGUCAUAGGAAAAGGAGAGGACAAUGCCUUGUUCGAGGUCUUGAACUAUACCAGGACAACUGAUCUGAACAACUCGUCUUGGUACUGGCGACCUCUACCCUGCCCGCCACUGUUUCGGCCGUGCCUGCCUGGCAGCAACAGCAAAGUUUGUCCUCCCUCUGCAGCCGCUGUGUUGGAUGCCGCCACAAUAUGUGUCUCAUCUGUGGAUGCUGGAGCCUGCGCCUUCUUUGACACGGCAACGCGCGAGUGGAGGCAGGCUGGCAGCUGGGUGCUGCCCAUCCACGGUGCGGCGGAGUAUGUCCCUGAGUUUGACCUCUGGUUUGGCCUCGACGAUGUCAUUGGCAACCCCAACCAUUGCCUGCGUGCUUUUGACUUCGAUUCCUCCAGGCGACCGGUGGUGCGGCACUCCUGGAACUAUCUCAGCGUCCUGCCCGAUGAGUGGUUGCCGCGGCAGAGGCACCUGCUAAACAUGGGCUCAGGCAAGUUCUGCAUCGCCACCAGCUUUCGAAAUCUCUUGAGGCACACCUCGUGCAGACCACUUCAUGGUGCAGUCAAUGAGCUUACUGUCUUGACCGGCGUGGAGGUGGUGCGCAAUGUCAAUGGUUUCCAGAUCAUCAAGCACAAGUCUGAAUGUUACAGCUUGGAGGACAAUAGAAUCCACUGUGUGCUCUGA
RNAcentral lists this ribosomal RNA (1107 nucleotides) under Triticum aestivum (bread wheat). Its description in RNAcentral is "partial small subunit ribosomal RNA". The record is from RNAcentral. Lineage: Eukaryota; Viridiplantae; Streptophyta; Magnoliopsida; Poales; Poaceae.